AAGUUUUGGGCCAUCCUUUUUCCUCGUAUUGCAGCCUAAGUUCCACUUCAAAACAACCCAAUCCAAUUUCCUUUCCACUCCAAUUCAGCCGCCCCAGCCCAUUAUUUUAACCUUGACCCGACCCUGCGCGUGUUUCUUCUUAUCCUUUCACGCGAGCAAUGCACAAACCAGAACCUUGUAGGCCGAAAUCCAAUUCGAAACUCAGCGAACCCAUCGCGACCCGAGUCCAGCAAAUCCAGGUGUCUUAAUCUCGUGUACCCACUCGUCCUUGCUCGAAAUCAAGCAGCCCUUCUUCUCCAGCCGUUGAGAAUUGUCGGAGUGUGGUACAAAUUCAAGUUGUCCAUCCUUAUCUCUGAGAGUUUUUGAAUUUCGAAUGAAAAUUUUAUCCAAAUAUUUCCUCCCGUGUUCCCCCUAUUUUUUCAGCUUUGGUUUCUCAUAUAAAAGCUCCUCUCUUGCUUCAGCUGGGGGGUUGGGAAAAAAAUAAAGUUUGAAUGGAAAGAGGUUGAAGAAUAUAUUUCAUUCAUAUAGGCAAGAACUCAUAUAUAGAGAAGAAUCUCGAAUAUAAAGUUUUCAAUGUCAAACCGACCUGAAUUCAAUAAAGUGAGAUAGAGAGUACUCAAGUUUCAAUUUCAUUUUUAUAUGGUUGACGUUCUUGUUGUUUCCUUCGAAUCUUACUUUAUGUGAAAGCUCAUUGAAAGGCUCAUUUUGUCCCGGAUUGCUGCUCUCCAAAAGAUUGGUAAAGCUUUGAAAUCAUUGAGGAAAGAAAAAGUAGUGGAGAAGUAGCUUGUUCACUCCGGUUCUUCAGUUGAGUGCAACAAGUGUACCGGCAAAUUUGACUCGCCCUCAACUCUAGCAAGUCUCGGCAUAUCAUGUUCAAGGGUGAGUUGUUCAUUCGAGCUUGGGUUGGAUUCUCUUGGUCAUUACCUGAUGUCCUUAGUUUUCGGACACAAAUUACUUUAUUUCAUUUAUUUUGUUGUCUUUAGUACUCUUAGACUUAGUAAUUGGAGAUUAGAUGUCCUUGUUGUGAUGACUUUUAAGUUUUGGGAACGAUUAAUUAAUAAGUUUUGAAGCUUCCGCAUUAUUUUGUUAUUCGUAGUUGAGUUAUUGGUACAUGUUGGUAUUUGGAUUCCUUGGUUCGCCUACCUAGGUAGUUAAGUUUGGGUGCCACUCACGACUCGAUUUGGGUCGUGACAUAGUAAUUUGAGUUGCAUUAUUUUCUUGUGCACUUGAGAUGCUCUAAUUAAUGUGGUUUGGUCCUAAAUUUUUGCCAUGAUUUAGUUAAAUUGUUGACCCUCUUGAA
This is a long non-coding RNA of Solanum pennellii, 1300 nucleotides long. RefSeq lists it as uncharacterized. The record is from RefSeq and is a predicted model, not a curated record. NCBI's taxonomy places the organism in Eukaryota, Viridiplantae, Streptophyta, Magnoliopsida, Solanales, Solanaceae. The transcript is spliced from 3 exons.